CCUACGGGCGGCAGCAGUGGGGAAUAUUGGACAGAUGGGCGAAAGCCUGAUCCAGCCAUGCCGCGUGUGUGAAGAAGGUCUUCGGAUUGUAAAGCACUUUAAGUUGGGAGGAAGGGCAUUAACCUAAUACGUUAGUGUUUUGACGUUACCGACAGAAUAAGCACCGGCUAACUCUGUGCCAGCAGCCGCGGUAAUACAGAGGGUGCAAGCGUUAAUCGGAAUUACUGGGCGUAAAGCGCGCGUAGGUGGUUUGUUAAGUUGGAUGUGAAAGCCCCGGGCUCAACCUGGGAACUGCAUCCAAAACUGGCAAGCUAGAGUACGGUAGAGGGUGGUGGAAUUUCCUGUGUAGCGGUGAAAUGCGUAGAUAUAGGAAGGAACACCAGUGGCGAAGGCGACCACCUGGCACUGAUACUGACACUGAGGUGCGAAAGCGUGGGGAGCAAACAGGAUUAGAUACCCCUGGUAGUC
This 468-nucleotide ribosomal RNA is filed under the name Pseudomonas putida. RNAcentral describes it as "bacterial SSU rRNA". It matches the Rfam family "Bacterial small subunit ribosomal RNA", at positions 338 to 795 of the family's 1533-position model. Lineage: Bacteria; Pseudomonadati; Pseudomonadota; Gammaproteobacteria; Pseudomonadales; Pseudomonadaceae. The record is from RNAcentral.